Molecule: long non-coding RNA, 544 nt
Filed under: Oryza brachyantha (malo sina)
Lineage: Eukaryota; Viridiplantae; Streptophyta; Magnoliopsida; Poales; Poaceae
Description: long non-coding RNA (OBRA_LNC001385)
Source: RNAcentral
UUUUACUGUGGGUGAUUGGUUAGGUGUUUGGAUAUCUUUGACAAAUUGAAGCAACUAAGUUGAUCCACACCUUGCUGGCGUCUCAAAUUUCUCCAAUGCAGGUUGCAUUCUUACCAUGUACUUCAAUCUGAUAUGUGCGAUUCAAAUUAUCUGUAUCCGUUUUGAGUAAAUGGUCAUAUUUAGCUUUGGUAUAUCAUAUCAGUGUCUUAGUGCAGCUCGUCGGAGUUCAUCGGCUGGAAGAUAAGAAAGGGGGAACGAAGACGAAGAGGGAGGAGUCAGGGCCGACGAGGCCGCAGUAGAGACGGCAACGGGGACCCGUGACCUGAGACUCGAUAGAUAUUUACUUUAUUAGGGUAUGGGAAUGAGCUAAAUAUAUUAUCCGUGGGUAAGUAAUUGGACAAAUACUUUUACCCGAUGGUACGCGUGUAUAGAAACGUUCUUAUGAUCCCCAUACUCGAUUACCCAUGGAUAAUAAAUACCCGCAAGUUUAAAUACAUGUCAUGGCCUAAUAUCAUAUUAGCCUAGCCUAAUUAACCAAAACCAU